This 3263-nucleotide ribosomal RNA is filed under the name Durio zibethinus. RNAcentral describes it as "eukaryotic LSU rRNA". It matches the Rfam family "Eukaryotic large subunit ribosomal RNA". The record is from RNAcentral. Lineage: Eukaryota; Viridiplantae; Streptophyta; Magnoliopsida; Malvales; Malvaceae.
ACAACCCUAAGUUAAAUGGGAUCACCCAUUGAGUUCAAACAUAUCAAUAAUUAAAGGAAAAAAAACUUAUUAGGAUUCCCCUAGUAAUGCAUACGAAUCAAGAAGAGCCCAGCUAGAGAAUUGGGCACCCUUGAUGUCUAAAUUAUAGUUCGAAGAAGUCUUCGAUAGCGAACUAGGCCAAGUCCUCGAGAAAUGAACCCCAAAUAGGGUGAGAGCAUCAUUGUACCUAGACAUUAUCACACCAUAAAGUGCUAUCUAUGAGUCAAGUUGUUUGGGAAUAUAACCCUAAAUGGGCAGUAAAUUCCAUCCAAGGAUUAAUACAAGCAAGAGAUAGUUAGUGAACAAGUACUGUAAUGGAAAAAUGAAAAAGACUUUGAAAAACUAGUCAAGAGUGCUUGAAAUUGUCAUGAGGGAAAUAGAUGGGGGCCAGCAAUACACCCAGGUUGGAUGUGGAAAAUGAUAGUGGGUCCAUUGAUUAGCUCAGGGCUUAGAUCAAUUUUGGUUGCUACGAUGGCCUAAGCCUAAACUUUUGAUAUGCCCACGUAGAUGUCAUUGCCACGAUUAUGGAAUUCAACAUGUACCAUCUCGACUUGUCUUGGCAUUGGCAUGCUCCUGAUAUCGACCUGUAGGCUCCCUAUCUGUCUUAUCUUGAAACACAGGCCAAUGAGUAUGACAUGUGUACGAGUCAACGGGCUAGAAAACCCAUAAGGUGUAAGAAAUUAGAUUGGUGGGAUCCCUUUCAAGUGCAUUGUCGAUCGACCUUGAUCUUCUGAGAAAGGUUCAAAUGUGAGCAUGCCUGUUAGGACCCAAAAGAUGGUGAACUAUGACUGAGUGCAACAAAGCCAAAGAAAACUCUAGUGGAGGCCCAUAGUGAUACUAAUGUGCAAAUCAUUCAUCUAACUUGGAUAUAGGGAUGAAAGACUAAUCAAACCGUCUAGUAGUUGGUUCCAUCUAAAGUUUCCCUCAGGAUAACUAAAGCCUUUAGUGAGUUCUAUCUAACAAACCUAAUGAUUAAGGUAUCAAGGGUGCAACACCCUCGACCUAUUCUCAAAUUUUAAGUAGGUAAGAUGGUAUGACUACUUCAUUAAGUUGUGCCAUGGAAUCAAGAGCUCCAAGUUAGCCAUUUUUGGUAAGCAAAACUAGCGAUGUCAUAUGAACCAGAAACAGGAUUAUAGUGCCUAACUACAUGCUAACCUAGAACCUAUAAAGGGUGUUGGUCGAUUAAGAUAGCAAGAUGGUGGUCAUGGAAGUCAAAAUCUACUAAGGAGUGAGUAACAACUCACUUGCCAGAUUAAGUAGCCCUAAAAAUGGAUGGCACUGAAGUGUGUGACCUAUACCUAGCCAUUGGGGCAAGGGCCAAACCCCAAUAAGUAGGAAGGUAUAGUAGUCACCAUAAAAUCUAAGGUGUGAGCCUAGGUAGAGCGACUAUCGGUGUAAAUCUUGGUGGUAGUAGCAAAUAUUCAAAUGAAAACUUUGAAGGCUGAAAAGUGGAAAGGUUUCAUGAGAAUGGCACUUACAUAAAGGUUAGUCAGUCCUAAGAGAUAGAGAAAGCCUAUUCGAUAGCAUGUUUAGCGUGAGUUUUGGAAAGGAAUCGAGUUAAAAUUUUUGAACUGGGAUGUGAUGGUUAACAGCAACAUUAGGGAGUUUAGAGAUAUAGGUGAGGGCCUCGAGAUGAGUUAGCUAUUCUAUUUAAUGGCUUGCCCACCCUAGAAAUGGUUUAGCUAGAGGUAGGGUCCAGCAUCUAGAAGAGCAUUGCAUGUCUAAUGGUGUUUAGUGCACCCCUAAUAGCCCUUGAAAAUUUGAAGGAUUGAGUGCUUUCCACACCCGAUCAUAGUCACAACCAUAUCAGAGUCUCCAAAAUGAAUAGCCUCUAGUCGAUCAGAUAAUGUAGGCAAGAGAAGUUGGCAAAAUGGAUCCAUAACCUAGGGAAAUGGGAUUGGCUCUGAAGGCUGGGCAUAGGGGUCCUAGUCCUGAACUCAUUGGUUACUAGUGCAUUUGCUCAAUCUACUCCCACAGCAACAAUGGGUCGUUGCAAGCUAGCCAAGAGAAGGACUAGGAACAACUCCCUCGAUGGCCUUCCCCAAGUGAUAAAUAGUCGACUCAAAACUGGUACUGACAAGAGGAAUCUAACUAUUUAAUUAAAAUAAAGCAUUGUGAUGGUCUUUAUCGAUGCUCAUGCAAUGUGAUUUCUACCUAGUGCUUUGAAUGUCAAAGUGAAGAAAUUCAACCAAGUAUGAGAAAAUGGCGGGAGUAACUAUGACUUUCUUAAGGUAGCCAAAUGCCUUGUCAUCUAUUUAGUGAUGUGUAUAAAUGGAUUAAUGAGAUUCCCACUGUCCCUAUUUACUAUCCAAUGAAACCACAACUAAGGGAAUUAGCUUGGUAGAAUCAGUAGGGAAAAAAGACCCUAUUGAGCUUCACUUAGUCUAACUUUGUGAAACGACUUGAAAGGUUUAGGAUAAGUGGGAGCCCUCGGGCAACAUUGAAAUACCACUACUUUUAACAUUAUUUUACAUAUUCUAUGAAUCGAAGGUGGGGUACGGACUUUCUUUUAGCCCAAGGCCAGCUUUGAUUAGUUGAUCUAGGUGGAAAACAUUGUUAGGAGAGGAGUUUGGCUGGGACGGCAUAUAUGUAAAAAAAUAACACAAGUGUCUUAAGAUGAGCUUAAGAAGAAUAGAAAUCUCGUGUGGAACAAAAGGGUAAAAGCUUGUUUGAUUUUGAUUCCUAGUAUGAAUACAAACUAUGAAAGUAUGGCCCAUCGAUCCUUUAGACCUUUAAAAUUUGAAGCUAGAGGUGUUAGAAAAGUUACCAUAAGGAUAACUGGCUUGUGGCAACCAAUCAUUCAUAUCAACAUUGCUUUUUGAUCCUUCAAUGUUGGCUUUUCCUAUCAUUAUGAAGUAGAAUUCACCAAAUGUUGGAUUGUUCACCCACCAAUAGGGAAUGUGAGCUAGGUUUAGACUAAUGUGAGAUAAGUUAGUUUUACCCUAUUGAUGGUAGUAUCGCAAUAGUAAUUCAACCUAGUACGAGAGGAACCGUCGACUCACAUAAUUGGUCAUCGCGCUUGGUUGAAAUGCUAAUGGCGCAAAGCUAUUGUAUGCUGACUAAAUGCCUUUAAGUAAGAAUUUAGGCUAGAACCAACGCACGCUCUCAUCACUCGAUUGUCAACCUACAAUAGGGUCCCAUGACCCCUAAGGGCACAUGUUAUAGGUGUAGCACCUACGACAGACAAGCAUCAUGGGCCUACUUGGAGCUUAAUUCCCACUGAG